UACGUAGGAGGCAAGCGUUGUCCGGAAUUACUGGGCGUAAAGCGCACGUAGGCGGAUCUUUAAGUCAGAGGUGAAAUCCCAAGGCUCAACCUUGGAACUGCCUUUGAUACUGGGUAUCUUGAGUAUGGAAGAGGUAAGUGGAAUUGCGAGUGUAGAGGUGAAAUUCGUAGAUAUUCGCAGGAACACCAGUGGCGAAGGCGGUUGCCUGGGGCUUUGCUGACGCUGAUGCGCGAAAGCGUGGGGAGCGAGUCCGG
Molecule: ribosomal RNA, 254 nt
Filed under: uncultured bacterium
Lineage: Bacteria
Description: partial 16S ribosomal RNA
Rfam family: Bacterial small subunit ribosomal RNA
Source: RNAcentral